GAAGGAAGAUGUGCAUGGUUGAAAGAGGUCUUUACAAAUUUGGCUGUGAUGCUUUCUACCGCUUUUCUAACAUUUUUGCUGUUCUGCCAUCAGGGAACAGAUGGGUAUUUAUUUUGCCUUUUCAAAGAUAUUUGGAGAAAGACAUUUUCCAAUUUCCCACGGCAAUCUAUUCUCGUGUACAGCGUCUGAUUUCUUUUAAAGUGACAUGGAAAGUUGUUUAUAUUGUUCCUUGCUUUUUCUUCCUGCAAAUGCAUUUUGUUUUUUGUUUUUUGGGUUUUUUUUACUCCUGGAAACCAAAAUUGGCUGCUUAAAAAUGCAUAUGAACAAUGAACCUGGUUCUUCUCUCUUCCCUGGAGAAAGGUGUGCGAAAACUUUUCCAAAAGGAUGCGAGCAAGGUGAAAGGAAUCCUUGCUGGCCCCCUCCAGAUGGCUGUGGAACCACUCUCCAUGGACUUCAACAAGAGAGGCACCAAGCGGAUACCGGAUUAGUCUGGCGCUUACCCAGAUAAACGACUCAAUCAGUUACUGUCCUUCAUAAUCAAAACUAAAUCAAUAAAUAACGAGGGAGUAACAAUUUGCCGUUUUGAUCUAAUUCCUCAAGUCCAGAUAGGUCCCUGGCCUUGUGACUGUAUGGAUUUAUAGGGCCAACUAAUUGAUUCCUGAAAGAAUUUCUUUUAAGCAGGCUCAAAUCUAAUUGGUCUUCAUUUCCAAAGCAAAAGAGGUACAUUAAGGGUACUUUGGUGAGCGAAAGCACUCCACUGCUCUUUGUCUCCUUGGAGAAUUAUUUUGCAGUAGGAGAUGAGGCACAGUAAUUGAAGUCAAUCAAGGUUAACCAGAGUGUGCCCCGCAGCCCUGCGCCGGGGGCCUUUCGUACACUUGGUCAGUAUUGGCUUCCAGAUCUCCACAGUCAGGGUUAAAGGUGACAAGAGUGGUUUCACACAAAAGAAGAUUCUAAAUGGCUUUCCAGUGAGCACACCAUGUAGUGUCUGAAGCCCCAGGGUUGUUGG
RNAcentral lists this long non-coding RNA (1006 nucleotides) under Ursus thibetanus thibetanus. RNAcentral describes it as "lncRNA (ENSUTTG00000001447.1)". The record is from RNAcentral. Lineage: Eukaryota; Metazoa; Chordata; Mammalia; Carnivora; Ursidae.